RNAcentral lists this long non-coding RNA (222 nucleotides) under Carica papaya (papaya). RNAcentral's name for it is "long non-coding RNA (CPAP_LNC004524)". The record is from RNAcentral. Lineage: Eukaryota; Viridiplantae; Streptophyta; Magnoliopsida; Brassicales; Caricaceae.
AAUGUGUUAGUAAGAUUCGACGACUACAUUUCGUUGACCGACUUCAAUCUCUCAUUAAAAGAUGAUAAUCUGACAUCAAUAAUCCACAUAAUUUCUGCUCAAAAUACAUCAUCAAUCACAAAACAAGUUGUUAUCCUGAUCAUAAACCCAAUUUUUCUAAUUCAUCAUACAUUUUAGUCAACUGUAUCACACCUGAUGUAGCCUCCUGCUUACGCCCUAGUC